CGUGAUCCGCCCUUCGGGGUGGUGAAAGUGGCGCACGGGUGAGUAACGCGUGGAUAAUCUGCCCGAGGAUUUGGGAUAACAUCUCGAAAGGGGUGCUAAUACCGAAUAAGCCCACGGGGUCUACGGAUCUUGCGGGAAAAGGGGGGGACCUUCGGGCCUCCUGUCCUUGGAUGAGUCUGCGUACCAUUAGCUAGUUGGUGGGGUAAUGGCCUACCAAGGCGACGAUGGUUAGCUGGUCUGAGAGGAUGAUCAGCCACACUGGAACUGAGACACGGUCCAGACUCCUACGGGAGGCAGCAGUGGGGAAUUUUGCGCAAUGGGGGAAACCCUGACGCAGCAACGCCGCGUGGGUGAUGAAGGCCUUCGGGUCGUAAAGCUCUGUCUGGAGGGAAGAAAUGAUUGGGAGCUAAUACCUCUUGAUCUUGACGGUACCUCUGAAGGAAGCACCGGCUAACUCCGUGCCAGCAGCCGCGGUAAUACGGAGGGUGCAAGCGUUGUUCGGAAUUAUUGGGCGUAAAGCGCGUGUAGGCGGUC
RNAcentral lists this ribosomal RNA (534 nucleotides) under uncultured Geobacter sp. Its description in RNAcentral is "bacterial SSU rRNA". It matches the Rfam family "Bacterial small subunit ribosomal RNA", at positions 67 to 580 of the family's 1533-position model. Lineage: Bacteria; Pseudomonadati; Thermodesulfobacteriota; Desulfuromonadia; Geobacterales; Geobacteraceae. The record is from RNAcentral.